GGCGGCGUGCCGUAACACAUAGCAAGUCGAGCGAGGAGAUUCCUCGGGAUGAUCCUAGCGGCGGACGGGUGAGUAACACUGGGCAACCUGCCUCAGUAGAGAGGAAUAGCCUUCCGAAAGGGAGAUUAAUACCUCAUAACAUUGCAGUUUCGCAUGGAACAGCAAUUAAAGGAGCAAUCCGCUAUGAGAUGGGCCCGCGGCGCAUUAGCUAGUUGGUGAGGUAACGGCUCACCCAAGGCGACGAUGCGUAGCCGACCUGAGAGGGUGAUCGGCCACAUUGGGACUGAGACACGGCCCAGACUCCUACGGGAGGCAGCAGUGGGGAAUAUUGCACAAUGGGGGGAAACCCUGAUGCAAGCAACGCCGCGUGAGUGAUGACGGCCUUCGGGUUGUAAAGCUCUGUCUUCAGGGACGAUAAUGACGGUACCUGAGGAGGAAGCCACGGCUAACUACGUGCCAGCAGCCGC
RNAcentral lists this ribosomal RNA (467 nucleotides) under uncultured bacterium. RNAcentral describes it as "bacterial SSU rRNA". It matches the Rfam family "Bacterial small subunit ribosomal RNA", at positions 38 to 518 of the family's 1533-position model. The record is from RNAcentral.